This 500-nucleotide ribosomal RNA is filed under the name uncultured bacterium. RNAcentral describes it as "partial 16S ribosomal RNA". It matches the Rfam family "Bacterial small subunit ribosomal RNA", at positions 30 to 523 of the family's 1533-position model. The record is from RNAcentral.
AUUGAACGCUGGCGGCAUGCCUUACACAUGCAAGUCGAACGGCAGCACGGGAGCAAUCCUGGUGGCGAGUGGCGAACGGGUGAGUAAAGUAUCGGAACGUGCCCAGUCGUGGGGGAUAACGUAGCGAAAGUUACGCUAAUACCGCAUACGAUCUACGAAUGAAAGCGGGGGAUCGCAAGACCUCGCGCGAUUGGAGCGGCUGAUAUCAGAUUAGGUAGUUGGUGAGGUAAAGGCUCACCAAGGCGACGAUCUGUAGCGGGUCUGAGAGGAUGAUCCGCCACACUGGGACUGAGACACGGCCCAGACUCCUACGGGAGGCAGCAGUGGGGAACUUUGGACAAUGGGGGCAACCCUGAUCCAGCCAUGCCGCGUGAGUGAAGAAGGCCUUCGGGUUGUAAAGCUCUUUCGGCCGGGAAGAAAUCGCACAGGCUAAUACUCUGUGUGGAUGACGGUACCGGCAUAAGAAGCACCGGCUAACUACGUGCCAGCCGCCGCUGUAA